RNAcentral lists this ribosomal RNA (580 nucleotides) under uncultured rumen bacterium. Its description in RNAcentral is "bacterial SSU rRNA". It matches the Rfam family "Bacterial small subunit ribosomal RNA", at positions 189 to 768 of the family's 1533-position model. The record is from RNAcentral.
AUCAGAUUGCGGGUAAAGGCUCGUCCGCCGUGGGAUGGGGAUGCGUAGGAUUAGGCAGCAGGCGGGGUGACGGCCCACCUGGCCUUCGAUCCUUAGGGGUUCUGAGAGGAAGGUCCCCCACACUGGUACUGAGACACGGACCAGACUCCUACGGGAGGCAGCAGUGAGGAAUAUUGGUCAAUGGGCGGAAGCCUGAACCAGCCAAGUAGCGUGCAGGAAGACGGCCCUACGGGUUGUAAACUGCUUUUAUGCGGGGAUAAAGUGAGGGACGUGUCCCUUAUUGCAGGUACCGCAUGAAUAAGGACCGGCUAAUUCCGUGCCAGCAGCCGCGGUAAUACGGAAGGUCCGGGCGUUAUCCGGAUUUAUUGGGUUUAAAGGGAGCGCAGGCGGCUGUUUAAGCGUGCCGUGAAAUGCCGUGGCUCAACCAUGGCACUGCGGCGCGAACUGGGCGGCUUGAGUCGGCGGAAGGUGCGCGGAAUUCGUGGUGUAGCGGUGAAAUGCUUAGAUAUCACGAGGAACUCCGAUUGCGAAGGCAGCGCGCCGCAGCUGUACUGACGCUCAUGCUCGAAGGCGCGGGUAU